Molecule: small nucleolar RNA, 128 nt
Organism: Magnolia sinica
Lineage: Eukaryota; Viridiplantae; Streptophyta; Magnoliopsida; Magnoliales; Magnoliaceae
Product: small nucleolar RNA snoR126
Exons: 1
Source: RefSeq, a predicted model, not a curated record
CGGCUGUGAUGACCAAAUUCGUUUCUCGAUGCUGAUUUUUUUUUAAGACCAUUAGAAGGACAUACACGGUUCUUCUGUGUAUAUCUGGUAUUAAUUUUUGAUGACAUAUUUGUGCGUGUCUGAGCCAU